GCCCGUCUGGACGGAAAGGUAGACGCAGCGUCCUCAAAAGGCGUGGCCCUCGUGGCGUCCCGGUUCGAGUCCGGGGGCGGGCACCA
This 86-nucleotide transfer RNA is filed under the name Brevundimonas phage vB_BpoS-Gurke. RNAcentral describes it as "tRNA-Leu". Lineage: Duplodnaviria; Heunggongvirae; Uroviricota; Caudoviricetes; Jeanschmidtviridae. The record is from RNAcentral.